UUUAAGGUAGCACAAUACAAAGAUUUUUCAUCCACAAUCAGACAUCUUUAAACUGAUGUUAUUCCACUCAUCCUUCUUUAAAUUUUAUAAAUGAGGUACCAAAAGAAAGAAGAAUGAUUAAUCUUUCAAAUUGUGAUAAUUUCAUUAUGACAUAAUUAUUACAUAAUUAAUUGUUAUGUAAUUAGUUGCUAUAUUGUGAUGUCC
This 204-nucleotide long non-coding RNA is filed under the name Mytilus galloprovincialis (Mediterranean mussel). Lineage: Eukaryota; Metazoa; Mollusca; Bivalvia; Mytilida; Mytilidae. The record is from RNAcentral.